CCAGACUCCUACGGGAGGCAGCAGUCGGGAAUAUUGCGCAAUGGAGGAAACUCUGACGCAGUGACGCCGCGUGCAGGAAGAAGGUUUUCGGAUUGUAAACUGCUUUAGACAGGGAAGAAACAAGACAGUACCUGUAGAAUAAGCUCCGGCUAACUACGUGCCAGCAGCCGCGGUAAUACGGAGGAUGCGAGCGUUAUCCGGAUUUAUUGGGUUUAAAGGGUGCGUAGGCGGACGCUUAAGUCAGCGGUAAAAUUGCGGGGCUCACCCUCGUCGAGCCGUUGAAACUGGGUGCCUUGAGUGGGCGAGAAGUACGCGGAAUGCGUGGUGUAGCGGUGAAAUGCAUAGAUAUCACGAAGAACUCCGAUUGCGAAGGCAGCUCACUGGACUGCAACUGACACUGAGGCUCGAAAGUGUGGGUAUCAAACAGGAUUAGAUACCCCCGUAGG
This 446-nucleotide ribosomal RNA is filed under the name uncultured bacterium. Its description in RNAcentral is "bacterial SSU rRNA". It matches the Rfam family "Bacterial small subunit ribosomal RNA", at positions 331 to 794 of the family's 1533-position model. The record is from RNAcentral.